RNAcentral lists this ribosomal RNA (503 nucleotides) under uncultured bacterium. Its description in RNAcentral is "partial 16S ribosomal RNA". It matches the Rfam family "Bacterial small subunit ribosomal RNA", at positions 30 to 523 of the family's 1533-position model. The record is from RNAcentral.
AUUGAGCGCUGGCGGCAGGCUUAACACAUGCAAGUCGAGCGGGGUGAUGGUGCUUGCACUAUCACUUAGCGGCGGACGGGUGAGUAAUGCUUAGGAAUCUGCCUAUUAGUGGGGGACGACAUCUCGAAAGGGAUGCUAAUACCGCAUACGUCCUACGGGAGAAAGCAGGGGAUCACUUGUGACCUUGCGCUAAUAGAUGAGCCUCAGUCGUAUUAGCUAGUUGGUGGGGUAAAGGCCUACCACGGCGACGAUCUGUAGCGGGUCUGAGAGGAUGAUCCGCCACACUGGGACGUAGACACGGCCCAGACUCCUACGGGAGGCAGCAGUGGGGAAUAUUGGACAAUGGGGGGAACCCUGAUCCAGCCAUGCCGCGUGUGUGAAGAAGGCCUUAUGGUUGUAAAGCACUUUAAGCGAGGAGGAGGCUCUUUUGGUUAAUACCCAAGAUGAGUGGACGUUACUCGCAGAAUAAGCACCGGCUAACUCUGUGCCAGCCGCCGCGGUAA